AGGAAAACGCGGGUCUUGCUAAUUCCUCGAAGAAUAAAAACUAGAAAAAAAGAAGAGAAGAAUGAUACUGGAAUCACAUGUGGCGAGACCUACGUAAGUCUAGCCCACAUGUGUUCCAAUAUCUUCUUCUUCUCCUCUUUCUUUUUAAAAUCUUUCUAAUUUGAAAAGUAAACUGGUGAGUAAUUAGUGUGUGAUUUGAGAUAGUGUGUGAUUUGUGAGUUUGUGUGUGAUUUGAGAAGGAAACUUGUGGGUAUUUAUAGAAAAGCGGACCUCUCUAAUUCCUCGUAAAGUAAGGACUCGUUAAUUCUACGUAAGGAAAAAUCGUCGUAAAGACCUCGUAAUCGGAAAACGCGGGCCUUGCUAUUUCCUCGUAUAGUAAAAUGCGGGCCUCGCUAUUUCCUCGUAUUGUAAAACGCGGGCCUUUGUAAUUCCUCGUAACUUUACAAGGAAAUUACGAGGACAUGUAAUCUCUUAUAUAUACUCCCGAGCGCUCACUCUUUAUUUCGUC
This 508-nucleotide long non-coding RNA is filed under the name Brassica napus (rape). RNAcentral describes it as "long non-coding RNA (BNAP_LNC017717)". The record is from RNAcentral. Lineage: Eukaryota; Viridiplantae; Streptophyta; Magnoliopsida; Brassicales; Brassicaceae.